RNAcentral lists this ribosomal RNA (648 nucleotides) under uncultured bacterium. Its description in RNAcentral is "bacterial SSU rRNA". It matches the Rfam family "Bacterial small subunit ribosomal RNA", at positions 110 to 753 of the family's 1533-position model. The record is from RNAcentral.
GUAAUGCUUAGGAAUCUGCCUAUUAGUGGGGGACAACAUCUCGAAAGGGAUGCUAAUACCGCAUACGUCCUACGGGAGAAAGCAGGGGACCUUCGGGCCUUGCGCCAAUAGAUGAGCCUAAGUCGGAUUAGCUAGUUGGUGGGGUAAAGGCCUACCAAGGCGACGAUCUGUAGCGGGUCUGAGAGGAUGAUCCGCCACACUGGGACUGAGACACGGCCCAGACUCCUACGGGAGGCAGCAGUGGGGAAUAUUGGACAAUGGGGGGAACCCUGAUCCAGCCAUGCCGCGUGUGUGAAGAAGGCCUUUUGGUUGUAAAGCACUUUAAGCGAGGAGGAGGCUACCGAGAUUAGUACUCUUGGAUAGUGGACGUUACUCGCAGAAUAAGCACCGGCUAACUCUGUGCCAGCAGCCGCGGUAAUACAGAGGGUGCAAGCGUUAAUCGGAUUUACUGGGCGUAAAGCGCGCGUAGGUGGCCAAUUAAGUCAAAUGUGAAAUCCCCGAGCUUAACUUGGGAAUUGCAUUCGAUACUGGUUGGCUAGAGUAUGGGAGAGGAUGGUAGAAUUCCAGGUGUAGCGGUGAAAUGCGUAGAGAUCUGGAGGAAUACCGAUGGCGAAGGCAGCCAUCUGGCCUAAUACUGACACUGAGGUG